Molecule: long non-coding RNA, 573 nt
Filed under: Olea europaea subsp. europaea
Lineage: Eukaryota; Viridiplantae; Streptophyta; Magnoliopsida; Lamiales; Oleaceae
Source: RNAcentral
AAAGAAUUAAAGUCCGCAACAGUUUCGCAAUAAAAUUAUAGACCUCAUGAAAUAAAUAUAGGAAUCAAGAAAUCAGAAAGCAUUACAAUAGCAAGUCUGACUGAAAAUUCUAUAAAACAAUACCAUAUUCUACAUAUUUGGCCUCUUUCCCAUUUUUAAUUUACAUACAAUAAGCGGGGAGAUGGUAACCAAGUGAACUUGGUUAGAUAUCGUGUUCAAACCACAGCCACGAAAGAAUAUCCACAGCUUUCCUUACCGGACGACACCAGCAUAAUAUGAAAAAUUGCUGGUUUCCAGUUUAAUCCAAUAACGCAGUUUUGACUUAGAAUAGUUCAGUCCCUCUGGUUUGGGAAUCUUGCAACGAGUCUGAGACGGGCUUGGAUUCAAAGAACUUAGCAACAGCCUGAUAGAGAUUCUCUUCUUCGAAUGGUUUGGACACAUACCCAUCCAUCCCACAUUUAAGACAUUUGUCUAAGGUUGCAUGGAUAACAUCGGCUGUCAUCGCCAAUAUUGGCAUAUGCCACACACCAUUUCUCGCAAUUCCUUCAAUGGUGCAUCCUCCAUUUACUGUCU